RNAcentral lists this ribosomal RNA (462 nucleotides) under uncultured bacterium. Its description in RNAcentral is "partial 16S ribosomal RNA". It matches the Rfam family "Bacterial small subunit ribosomal RNA", at positions 28 to 523 of the family's 1533-position model. The record is from RNAcentral.
AACGAACGUUGGCGGCGUGGAUUAGGCAUGCAAGUCGGGGGAAUCCCAGCAAUGGGGGAACCGGCGUAAGGGGCAGUAAGGCGUGGGUACCUACCCCGGGGUUCGGGAUAGCCGUCCGAGAGGGCGGGUAAUACCGGAUGACCUGGUGACAGCAAAGAUUUAUCGCCCUGGGAGGGGCCCACGUGAUAUUAGGUAGUUGGCGGGGUAACGGCCCACCAAGCCUUAGAUGCCUAGCGGGUGUGAGAGCACGACCCGCGCCACUGGCACUGAGACACUGGCCAGACACCUACGGGUGGCUGCAGUCGAGGAUCUUCGGCAAUGGGCGCAAGCCUGACCGAGCGACGCCGCGUGGGCGAUGAAGGCCUCCGGGUUGUAAAGCCCUGUCGGGGGGGAGAAAAGGGUAAAACUUUGAUCUAUCCCCGGAGGAAGCACGGGCUAAGUUCGUGCCAGCAGCCGCGGUAA